This is an RNA transcript of Anarrhichthys ocellatus (wolf-eel), 2234 nucleotides long. It is a transcript of the gene named piggyBac transposable element-derived protein 4-like, with no coding region annotated. The transcript is spliced from 4 exons. The record is from RefSeq and is a predicted model, not a curated record. NCBI's taxonomy places the organism in Eukaryota, Metazoa, Chordata, Actinopteri, Perciformes, Anarhichadidae.
UGACAUCAGAAGGAAAAGGAGCACCAGCCAAUCACAACGAGGCGAACGGGACGAAGGCGAAACCGAAAAAAAAUACGCGCGCUGUCUUUUCGAGAUGGAACACUUUGUUUGAGGACCGGCUGACUCGGGCUUUAAUUUACUUUAUUUUCCUUCUUUCUCCCAAAAAAUGGCGUCGAACAGCACAGCGGAGGCGCCCAUUGUGGUGGAGAGUGAAGACGACGGAGAGUCCGGAGCAGAGAGUUUCCUCACAGAUGAAGAGAUGGCUUAUCAGGAGGGAAUCGAUCCGGCUGAGGAUCUGAUUGACGACGAGCAAGAGGACGCCGAGGAGCCGAGCAACUCUGCUGCAGGAAACGCUUGCACAGAAGAAGAGCCGCCCAGAGAGCGAUCUCCUUCCCCGCCACAUAUGAAGAGUUCACGGGGCUCCAGGUCCAGGAGUGCACGAGAAGGAUCAACACUCCAGACCAGAUCCAGAUCUCCACCUCAGGCACCCUCGACCGCGGCCUGGAAAACCGAUACAGAUCUGGAUUCGUGUCCGGUGCCGAGAAGAUUCAUCCCAGCGAGACCGCCGGGACAUCAGCUGAACUCCAACACCACGUACACACCGCUGGACCUCUUCAAACUGUUUUUCAGCAACGACGCGGUUCAAACUCUUUGUCAAAACACGAACAAACAAGCGGCCAAAAACAUCGAAAAGGGCAAAAAAUAUUCAUGGACCGACCUCGACACCCAGGAGUUCUUCAAGUACGUGGGGCUGACUUUCUUCUUCGCGCUGGUGAAGCUGGAUAACAUCCAGGACUACUGGAAGAAGAGAAGCAUCUUCAGCGUGCCGUUCCCGGCCAACGUGAUGCCGCGGGACCGGUACCGGGUGAUCUCGUGGAACAUCCACAUGAGCGACCCCGAGAGGGACGCGGAGAACGACAGAAGGAAGGGGUCGCCGGAUCACGACCGCCUGUUCCGACUGAAGCCCCUUCUGGACUCGAUCAAAGACGCCUGCAAGUCUUUUUACCACCCGAGGCAGAACCUGUCGGUAGACGAGAGGAUGGUGCCGACGAACGCACGCGCCGCGAUGCUGCAGCACAUGAAGGGGAAGCCGACGAAGUGGGGCUUCAAACUCUUCGCUUUGGCCGACGGCAGCAACGGCUACACCUGGGAUUUUACCGUGUACACGGGGAAGUCGCAGUUCCCCUCGGGCGUUGGACUUGCGUACGACUCCGUCAUGUCCCUGGUGAAGACGGCGUACCUGGGCAGUGGCUUUCAUUUGUACGUGGACCAUUUCUACACCAGCCCGAAGCUCUUCAAGGAUCUGUUCAGCCUGAAUAUCGGAGCGUGCGGCACGUAUAAGGAUAACAGAAGAGGGUGCCCACGCACGAACUCCAACGCUCUGAGGAAGAAGGAUCCCAGAGGCUCCAUCAGGUGGAUCCGCGACGGCCCGCUGGUUUUUGUGAAGUGGAUGGACACUCGCGAGGUCUCCGUCUGCUCCACGAUCCACCCGGCGUACUCCGGCAGCACCGUGCAGAGGAGGGUCAAGUCUCCUAACGGCGAGUGGACCGCCAAAUACAUCGCGUGCCCGACGCCGGCCGUGGAUUACAACAAGCACAUGGGCGGCGUGGACCUGUCGGACCAGCUGAUCCAGCACUACGUGCACCACAAGACCAUGCGCUGGUACCGCACGCUGUUCUUCCACUUCCUGGACAUCGCGGCCACCAACAGCUUCCUCCUCCACAAGGAGCUGUGCCGGGAGAAGCAGGAGCAGCCGAUGACCCACCGGGCCUUCCUGCAGGAGCUGACGGCCCAGCUGUGCGGCGUCACCGUGGCGGUGCCUCCGGCGCAGGCGCACAGCGGACACCUGCCCGUGCCGAUAUCCGAUCAACCCGACGCGAGCAAGAGGGCGUCGUACGGACGCAGGACGUGUCUGCACUGCAGGCAGACCAGGCAAGUGAGGCUGUCGACGCCCUGGAAGUGCAUGGAGUGUGAUGUGGCUCUGUGUGUCAUAGCAGACAGGAACUGCUUCAAGGAGUGGCACAGCUGACCAUGAACACAACAACAAACAAGACUAGGGACGUUAAAGACAUUGGUGUGAUGGACCGGUGUCGAUCCAUGACUCUGAUCCGUGAUACUAUGCAGAGGUUGAAACAGGACGGUCUGGAGGGAAGUUCAUGCAGAAGGACGACUGAUCGGGCGUUGGUGGUGUGGAUCAGAAUUAACAUGAAGAAUGAUACUGAAGCUGGUCGACG